Molecule: long non-coding RNA, 1269 nt
Filed under: Equus caballus (horse)
Lineage: Eukaryota; Metazoa; Chordata; Mammalia; Perissodactyla; Equidae
Description: lncRNA (ENSECAG00000056150.1)
Source: RNAcentral
AGGAAACAAAACUGGAUGGUGUUCCUGUUGCCUCACAAAGGGUCCUGAAAUGCCCCAAGCACGCUCCACUGGGGCACAGCUCAUGUUCAAUGACACAGUGGACACCCUGUGGGUGCCUGAGUGCUGAGCAGCCCCAGGCCCCGGGCCCCGGGCCCAGAGGUGAGCUGGCCAGGGCCCCCCCCAGCAGACCCUUGCCUGCCUCCUGGACCACAGGAGGCCGAUGCUCGCUGGGGGGAGACCAAGGGCCAUAGGUGGCUGCGGGAAUCACCACCCCUGGCUAGUUGCAAGGGACAGCAGAGGUGGAAAUGGGACCUGGAAAGAGGGUGGGAUUUGCCAGUCUCGAGGGGAGGAUGGAUGACCCAGGCACAGAGAAGUCAGGAAACAAAGGUCCAAAUUGCCCACCGACAGCCCUGGGCAGACUAAUAAAUGGCAGAGCCAGGCCUCCAGCCCACGUCUGACUCAGAGACGCAAAGCCACAGCCGCCAUCAACAGCAUUAAACCCACCCAUCAAGGAAGGCGCAAAUGCACACUCAAAUCAGAUCGCUAAGGUGCAGCAAUUUCAGGCUUAAAGGGAACGCACGAUAUGGCAUGUAAACUUGACCCUCGUUCACGCACAGCUACACCAAAGACCUCUGCCUACUUUCUAGGUCCUCAGCGCAAUACUGUGCAAACAAAAUCCUGUUACUUAUAUCAGAACGAAAAAGAGGCGUGCAGUUUGACAGAUAAAUUCAAGACAGCGUAGGAAGCAUCAGUAAACAGGUGUCAAAGGUGAACAUCAGUAAAAGGCUCUUACUACGAGCAACACCCCGUCUCAGGGGUUAUUCAGGUACAUCAGUCAUCUGACGAACCAACCUGGUUUCCCCAUGUUUUUCGUAAGUCACCAGUAACCAGGGUGGCUUCAAGUAAACACACCACAUCAAGAGCUCGUCCCCGCUGACGGCUGCCAGCAGCUUACCUCUGCGUCUGCGGCCACCCAGGUGCUGACGUCACGUAAGCCACGCGGUGGGAACUGUCUGGGCUCAUCUGGCAGACAGACUCACCUACAAAACCGAGGAGACAGAGACCGUCUCUCUCUACAGCACCUAGACAAAGGCCUCUGCAAAGAUAAAUACCGAGGACCCUGCAAGAUGCCCGCUUUCCUCAAAAUCAUAGUCAAAAGGAAUGAAACCAAAAUCGCGGUCAGAUCAAAUGUCUUGCUUUCUCACAACAGCAUGAUUCUGUAAGAUAUUCGGGUUUUGGUUUUGGUUUUGAUUUGGUGCAAAAUUUAAA